This 66-nucleotide transfer RNA is filed under the name Bos taurus (domestic cattle). It matches the Rfam family "tRNA". Rfam says of the family: Transfer RNA (tRNA) molecules are approximately 80 nucleotides in length. Their secondary structure includes four short double-helical elements and three loops (D, anti-codon, and T loops). Lineage: Eukaryota; Metazoa; Chordata; Mammalia; Artiodactyla; Bovidae. The record is from Rfam by way of RNAcentral. RNAcentral also lists the same sequence under 4 other names.
UCCCAGGUGGCUCAGUGGUAAAGAACCUGCCUGUCAAGCAGGAGACAUGGGUUUGAUCCCUGGGUA